Molecule: ribosomal RNA, 330 nt
Filed under: uncultured prokaryote
Description: bacterial SSU rRNA
Rfam family: Bacterial small subunit ribosomal RNA
Source: RNAcentral
AGAAUGAACGCUGGCGGCGUGCUUAACACAUGCAAGUCGAACGGAAUCCAAGGAGCUUGCUCCAGAAGAUUUAGUGGCGAACGGGUGAGUAACACGUGAGCAACCUACCCCAGAGACUGGGAUAACACCGGGAAACCGGUGCUAAUACCAGAUGUCUUCCCUUGACCGCAUGAUCGGGGGAAGAAAUGAAUUUCGCUCUGGGAGGGGCUCGCGGUCCAUCAGCUUGUUGGCGGGGUAACGGCCCACCAAGGCGACGAUCGGUAGCUGGUCUGAGAGGAUGAUCAGCCACACUGGGACUGAGACACGGCCCAGACUCCUACGGGAGGCAGC